Molecule: ribosomal RNA, 550 nt
Filed under: uncultured bacterium
Lineage: Bacteria
Description: bacterial SSU rRNA
Rfam family: Bacterial small subunit ribosomal RNA
Source: RNAcentral
UAGGGAAUCUUCGGCAAUGGGGGCAACCCUGACCGAGCAACGCCGCGUGAGUGAAGAAGGUUUUCGGAUCGUAAAGCUCUGUUGUAAGUCAAGAACGAGUGUGAGAGUGGAAAGUUCACACUGUGACGGUAGCUUACCAGAAAGGGACGGCUAACUACGUGCCAGCAGCCGCGGUAAUACGUAGGUCCCGAGCGUUGUCCGGAUUUAUUGGGCGUAAAGCGAGCGCAGGCGGUUUGAUAAGUCUGAAGUUAAAGGCUGUGGCUCAACCAUAGUUCGCUUUGGAAACUGUCAAACUUGAGUGCAGAAGGGGAGAGUGGAAUUCCAUGUGUAGCGGUGAAAUGCGUAGAUAUAUGGAGGAACACCGGUAGCGAAAGCGGCUCUCUGGUCUGUAACUGACGCUGAGGCUCGAAAGCGUGGGGAGCGAACAGGAUUAGAUACCCUGGUAGUCCACGCCGUAAACGAUGAGUGCUAGGUGUUGGAUCCUUUCCGGGAUUCAGUGCCGCAGCUAACGCAUUAAGCACUCCGCCUGGGGAGUACGACCGCAAGGUUG